GCGGCAGGCUUAACACAUGCAAGUCGAGCGGUAACAGAGAUAGCUUGCUAUCUGCUGACGAGCGGCGGACGGGUGAGUAACGCGUAGGAAUCUACCUAGUAGUGGGGGACAACAGUUGGAAGCGACUGCUAAUACCGCAUACGCCUACGGGGGAAAGCAGGGGAUCUUCGGACCUUGCGCUAUUAGAUGAGCCUGCGUCGGAUUAGCUUGUUGGUGGGGUAAUGGCCUACCAAGGCAACGAUCCGUAGCUGGUCUGAGAGGAUGAUCAGCCACACUGGGACUGAGACACGGCCCAGACUCCUACGGGAGGCAGCAGCGGGGAAUAUUGCACAAUGGGCGAAAGCCUGAUGCAGCCAUGCCGCGUGUGUGAAGAAGGCUCUAGGGUUGUAAAGCACUUUCAGAAGGGAGGAAAGGUUGUAGGUUAAUACCUUGCAACUGUGACGUUACCUUCAGAAGAAGCACCGGCUAACUCCGUG
This 476-nucleotide ribosomal RNA is filed under the name uncultured bacterium. RNAcentral describes it as "bacterial SSU rRNA". It matches the Rfam family "Bacterial small subunit ribosomal RNA", at positions 39 to 507 of the family's 1533-position model. The record is from RNAcentral.